RNAcentral lists this ribosomal RNA (610 nucleotides) under Carex glomerabilis. RNAcentral describes it as "eukaryotic LSU rRNA". The stretch from base 229 to 383 matches the Rfam family "5.8S ribosomal RNA". Lineage: Eukaryota; Viridiplantae; Streptophyta; Magnoliopsida; Poales; Cyperaceae. The record is from RNAcentral.
UCGUUGCCCCUCGAAAAACACGACCGUUGCACACGUGACAGAAUGCUGUCGGGGAGGUGCUUGCUGCCUUCUCGGCCCCACCGGCCUCGUUCCUCUAGCCCUUCGGGCGAGUUGGAUGCUGGCCGGAAUACGGCGCGGGAUGACGCCAAGGAACACGAUAAAAGCUAAGGCACCGGCCGUAGCCGCUAAAGGGCUUGCGUCGGAUGCCAAGGCCAAUGAAAAGAAUAUGACUCUCGGCAACGGAUAUCUCGGCUCUCGCAUCGAUGAAGAACGUAGCGAAAUGCGAUACGUGGUGUGAAUUGCAGAAUCCCGUGAACCAUCGAGUCUUUGAACGCAAGUUGCGCCCGAGGGACCCUCCCGAGGGCACGCCUGCCUCAUGGGCGUUAGAAGCCCAUCCACGCUCGGUUGCCUAACGGCAGAGAUGCGGACAUUGGCCCUCCGAACCGCGAGGUACGGUGGGCCUAAGUGUGYGGCCGUCGUAUGUGGCCGGGAGCGGCGAGUGGUGGGCUACUGCGCAAGUCACCCCGAGCCCCGUACCGACGCAGGGCCUUUUUUGACCCCUAACGAGGAGCUUGCCGUUGCAGCUGGCGCUGCGCGGCGCCUUCGGACC